This 429-nucleotide ribosomal RNA is filed under the name Pseudomonadota bacterium. Its description in RNAcentral is "Proteobacteria bacterium partial 16S ribosomal RNA". It matches the Rfam family "Bacterial small subunit ribosomal RNA", at positions 355 to 776 of the family's 1533-position model. Lineage: Bacteria; Pseudomonadati; Pseudomonadota. The record is from RNAcentral.
UGGGGAAUAUUGGACAAUGGGCGAAAGCCUGAUCCAGCCAUGCCGCGUGUGUGAAGAAGGUCUUCGGAUUGUAAAGCACUUUAAGUUGGGAGGAAGGGCAGUAAGCGAAUACCUUGCUGUUUUGACGUUACCGACAGAAUAAGCACCGGCUAACUCUGUGCCAGCAGCCGCGGUAAUACAGAGGGUGCAAGCGUUAAUCGGAAUUACUGGGCGUAAAGCGCGCGUAGGUGGUUCGUUAAGUUGAAUGUGAAAGCCCCGGGCUCAACCUGGGAACUGCAUCCAAAACUGGCGAGCUAGAGUAGGGCAGAGGGUGGUGGAAUUUCCUGUGUAGCGGUGAAAUGCGUAGAUAUAGGAAGGAACACCAGUGGCGAAGGCGACCACCUGGGCUUAUACUGACACUGAGGUGCGAAAGCGUGGGGAGCAAACAGG